RNAcentral lists this ribosomal RNA (495 nucleotides) under uncultured bacterium. Its description in RNAcentral is "partial 16S ribosomal RNA". It matches the Rfam family "Bacterial small subunit ribosomal RNA", at positions 28 to 507 of the family's 1533-position model. The record is from RNAcentral.
GACGAACGCUGGCGGCGUGCCUAAUACAUGCAAGUCGAACGCUGAAGGAGGAUCUUGCUUCUCUGGAUGAGUUGCGAACGGGUGAGUAACGCGUAGGUAACCUGCCUGGUAGCGGGGGAUAACUGUUGGAAACGAUAGCUAAUACCGCAUAAUAGUAGAUGUCGCAUGACAUUUGCUUAAAAGGUGCAAUUGCAUCACUACCAGAUGGACCUGCGUUGUAUUAGCUGGUUGGUGAGGUAACGGCUCACCAAGGCAACGAUACAUAGCCGACCUGAGAGGGUGAUCGGCCACACUGGGACGGAGACACGGCCCAGACUACUACGGGAGGCAGCAGAAGGGAAUCUGCGGCAAUGGACGGAAGUCUGACCGAGCAACGCCGCGUGAGUGAAGAAGGUUUUCGGAUCGGAAAGCUCUGUUGUAAGAGAAGAACGAGUGUGAGAGUGGAAAGUUCACACUGUGACGGUAUCUGACCAGAAAGGGACGGCUAACUACGUG